UACGUAGGGUGCAAGCGUUAAUCGGAAUUACUGGGCGUAAAGCGUGCGCAGGCGGUUCGGAAAGAAAGAUGUGAAAUCCCAGGGCUUAACCUUGGAACUGCAUUUUUAACUACCGGGCUAGAGUGUGUCAGAGGGGGGUGGAAUUCCACGUGUAGCAGUGAAAUGCGUAGAUAUGUGGAGGAACACCGAUGGCGAAGGCAGCCCCCUGGGAUAACACUGACGCUCAUGCACGAAAGCAUGGGGAGCAAAAGGG
This 253-nucleotide ribosomal RNA is filed under the name uncultured bacterium. RNAcentral describes it as "partial 16S ribosomal RNA". It matches the Rfam family "Bacterial small subunit ribosomal RNA", at positions 524 to 776 of the family's 1533-position model. The record is from RNAcentral.